This 490-nucleotide ribosomal RNA is filed under the name uncultured bacterium. Its description in RNAcentral is "bacterial SSU rRNA". It matches the Rfam family "Bacterial small subunit ribosomal RNA", at positions 30 to 517 of the family's 1533-position model. The record is from RNAcentral.
AUUGAACGCUGGCGGCAUGCCUUACACAUGCAAGUCGAACGGUAACAGGCCGCAAGGUGCUGACGAGUGGCGAACGGGUGAGUAAUACAUCGGAACGUGCCCGAGAGUGGGGGAUAACGGAGCGAAAGCUUUGCUAAUACCGCAUACGAUCUACGGAUGAAAGCAGGGGACCGCAAGGCCUUGUGCUCAUGGAGCGGCCGAUGGCAGAUUAGGUAGUUGGUGGGAUAAAAGCUUACCAAGCCGACGAUCUGUAGCUGGUCUGAGAGGACGACCAGCCACACUGGGACUGAGACACGGCCCAGACUCCUACGGGAGGCAGCAGUGGGGAAUUUUGGACAAUGGGCGAAAGCCUGAUCCAGCCAUGCCGCGUGCAGGAUGAAGGCCUUCGGGUUGUAAACUGCUUUGUACGGAACGAAAAGACUCUGGUUAAUACCUGGGGUCCAUGACGGUACCGUAAGAAUAAGCACGGCUAACUACGUGCCAGCAGCCG